This 427-nucleotide ribosomal RNA is filed under the name uncultured bacterium. RNAcentral describes it as "bacterial SSU rRNA". It matches the Rfam family "Bacterial small subunit ribosomal RNA", at positions 355 to 774 of the family's 1533-position model. The record is from RNAcentral.
UGGGGAAUAUUGGACAAUGGGCGAAAGCCUGAUCCAGCCAUGCCGCGUGUGUGAAGAAGGUCUUCGGAUUGUAAAGCACUUUAAGUUGGGAGGAAGGGCUGCAAGCUAAUACCUUGUAGUUUUGACGUUACCAACAGAAUAAGCACCGGCUAACUUCGUGCCAGCAGCCGCGGUAAUACGAAGGGUGCAAGCGUUAAUCGGAAUUACUGGGCGUAAAGCGCGCGUAGGUGGUUUGGUAAGAUGGAUGUGAAAUCCCCGGGCUCAACCUGGAAACUGCAUCCAUAACUGCCUGACUAGAGUACGGUAGAGGGUGGUGGGAUUUCCUGUGUAGCGGUGAAAUGCGUAGAUAUAGGAAGGAACACCAGUGGCGAAGGCGACCACCUGGACUGAUACUGACACUGAGGUGCGAAAGCGUGGGGAGCAAACA